CCCACUUAAGUCGUUAUAGGCCUACUGACUCCAUGUGAGGGGAAGGAUGAUUAUCAUAAUGGAACAUUAUGAUUACCUCCGCCAAGGAGGUCCUCCAUGAUGAGAUCCUGCUGCUCCUGACUGCGUCCAGAGGAGUGGCUGUUGUUAUGGCCCUGGCUCUUCCCAGUUCCACUGAUCCUCCUCAACAC
Engraulis encrasicolus (European anchovy) is the source of this 188-nucleotide long non-coding RNA. RefSeq lists it as uncharacterized. The transcript has 3 exons. NCBI's taxonomy places the organism in Eukaryota, Metazoa, Chordata, Actinopteri, Clupeiformes, Engraulidae. The record is from RefSeq and is a predicted model, not a curated record.